ACGCACUAGCAACAUGGAGAGACAUGGCUCCCAUGUUAUCCCGUGCAACCCCUGUUCCCCGCUUGUGUCCCUCUCGUUGCACAUGGCCUUGUAACCAACCAUUCCACCCCCUCCUAGAGCUAAGAUUAUCACCACCUUCCUUCCUCCGUUCGUCUGUACCCUGUACUUCUGUACUCAAACAGUGCUUUACUUUAAGUAAUGGUAAGGUGUGGCGGUAUCUCUACUACGGUAAAAGAAAUUAGCGAGGGCAUCCGGCUUACAUGGAUUAUUGCUUGCGCUAACUGGCCUUGUUACGAACAGGAACUCACUACAGAUUACAGAACAUGAAAGUUCAAAGCAAAACUACGCGUGCCAAAGAACUGCAAUUAGUGAAUCUUUGGUCAGCAUCCUGUACCACGUGUAUGUAGGACUUGAGUUCAGUAAUUCCAGGGAUGAUGUUGAAGAUAGAUAUUCCAUAUUGGUAGAGUCCCGGUCCCUUUAGAAAGCAACAGGUUUUAUCAUUUUAACUUUGAU
RNAcentral lists this long non-coding RNA (513 nucleotides) under Zea mays. Its description in RNAcentral is "long non-coding RNA NONZMAT002800". The record is from RNAcentral. Lineage: Eukaryota; Viridiplantae; Streptophyta; Magnoliopsida; Poales; Poaceae.